Molecule: transfer RNA, 86 nt
Filed under: Ralstonia solanacearum
Lineage: Bacteria; Pseudomonadati; Pseudomonadota; Betaproteobacteria; Burkholderiales; Burkholderiaceae
Description: tRNA-Leu
Rfam family: tRNA
About the family: Transfer RNA (tRNA) molecules are approximately 80 nucleotides in length. Their secondary structure includes four short double-helical elements and three loops (D, anti-codon, and T loops). Further hydrogen bonds mediate the characteristic L-shaped molecular structure. tRNAs have two regions of fundamental functional importance: the anti-codon, which is responsible for specific mRNA codon recognition, and the 3' end, to which the tRNAs corresponding amino acid is attached (by aminoacyl-tRNA synthetases). tRNAs cope with the degeneracy of the genetic code in two manners: having more than one tRNA (with a specific anti-codon) for a particular amino acid; and 'wobble' base-pairing, i.e. permitting non-standard base-pairing at the 3rd anti-codon position.
Source: RNAcentral
GCCUGGGUGGCGGAAUCGGUAGACGCAGCAGACUUAAAAUUUGCCAGCCAAAAGCUGUACGGGUUCGAGUCCCGUCCCAGGCACCA